CACCCAGAUGGGGAUGGAGUCCCCCGACAACCGCCCGGUGGUCGAGACUGUAUUGGGCUGAUGACUCCUGCUUGAGG
This 77-nucleotide non-coding RNA is filed under the name Bradyrhizobium sp. RNAcentral's name for it is "Fluoride sequence". It matches the Rfam family "Fluoride riboswitch aptamer (crcB RNA motif)". Lineage: Bacteria; Pseudomonadati; Pseudomonadota; Alphaproteobacteria; Hyphomicrobiales; Nitrobacteraceae. The record is from RNAcentral.